This is a long non-coding RNA of Rhagoletis zephyria (snowberry fruit fly), 81 nucleotides long. RefSeq lists it as uncharacterized. The record is from RefSeq and is a predicted model, not a curated record. NCBI's taxonomy places the organism in Eukaryota, Metazoa, Arthropoda, Insecta, Diptera, Tephritidae.
UUUAAAUUGAAAUAUAUUGAAAAUUUUGUUUUCUUUUUUUAGUUCUGAAGAUGCCUUCAGACUGAAGGCGAAAUAUCGACC